This 562-nucleotide unclassified non-coding RNA is filed under the name Hevea brasiliensis (rubber tree). The record is from RNAcentral. Lineage: Eukaryota; Viridiplantae; Streptophyta; Magnoliopsida; Malpighiales; Euphorbiaceae.
UAGUGGAGAUGCAAAUAGAACUGUUACGACCAACUCCUUACCUGGUUUUGUUUCUGGUGGUUCAAUUAGCAGAGAUGCAAAUAGAACUGAGACAAUCAGUCAGAAGACUCAGAACACUGGAGGAAAUCCUAAUCAGACCAAAGAAAGUUCCAGGGAUCGGGGUAGGGAAAGGCGAAGGCCAUCUGGUUGGGACCAUUGAUGCUACUCUCACCUAGUCCCCUGGAUGAGAACAACUUUCUUCUAGGAUGACACUUAAAAUCUAUGUGUGGUUAUUUAUGCCGACCGAGUUCCUUCAUGUUCUUGUUGUUUAGCUACUACUUGUGUAUGAUUUCAUAUUUGAGUUUGUAGAAAGUUAUAAUUACUGCGUAUUAAUCAAUAUGAUUUCCUAAAUCCUUCUUUUGACUAUGGUUCAUAGCAGAAAUUUAGAAUUUUUGGUUAUUUAAAUUCUUAGAAAACUAGCCAUUCCAUCGAUGUGUAGUUGAUCUGUUGUACAUUUUCUAAAAUAAUUCUCAGUCAAGUUCAUUUUUUUAGAUAUAUAUAAUACUGGCAACUUAUGAUAAAA